RNAcentral lists this ribosomal RNA (371 nucleotides) under uncultured organism. Its description in RNAcentral is "bacterial SSU rRNA". It matches the Rfam family "Bacterial small subunit ribosomal RNA", at positions 526 to 896 of the family's 1533-position model. The record is from RNAcentral.
CAGAGGGUGCGAGCGUUAAUCGGAAUUACUGGGCGUAAAGGGCGCGUAGGCGGUUAUAUAAGUGAGAUGUGAAAUCCCUGGGCUUAACCUAGGAACUGCAUCUUAGACUGUAUGACUGGAGUGCAGUAGAGGGUAGUGGAAUUUCCGGUGUAGCGGUGAAAUGCGUAGAUAUCGGAAGGAACACCAGAGGCGAAGGCGGCUACCUGGACUGACACUGACGCUGAGGCGCGAGAGCGUGGGGAGCAAACAGGAUUAGAUACCCUGGUAGUCCACGCUGUAAACGAUGAGAACUAGAUGUUGGUAGGCUUGACCUAUUAGUAUCGCAGCUAACGCAAUAAGUUCUCCGCCUGGGGAGUACGACCGCAAGGUUA